RNAcentral lists this ribosomal RNA (1324 nucleotides) under Enterococcus faecium. RNAcentral's name for it is "partial 23S ribosomal RNA". It matches the Rfam family "Bacterial large subunit ribosomal RNA", at positions 1 to 1329 of the family's 2925-position model. The record is from RNAcentral. Lineage: Bacteria; Bacillati; Bacillota; Bacilli; Lactobacillales; Enterococcaceae.
GGUUAAGUGAAUAAGGGCGCACGGUGGAUGCCUUGGCACUAGGAGCCGAUGAAGGACGGGACUAACACCGAUAUGCUUUGGGGAGCUGUACGUAAGCUAUGAUCCAGAGAUUUCCGAAUGGGGGAACCCAACAUCUUUAAUAGGAUGUUACGAUUGUGUGAAUACAUAGCACAUUCGAGGUAGACGCAGAGAACUGAAACAUCUAAGUACCUGCAGGAAGAGAAAGAAAAUUCGAUUCCCUGAGUAGCGGCGAGCGAAACGGGAAAAGCCCAAACCAGCAAGCUUGCUUGUUGGGGUUGUAGGACUCCAAUAUGGUAGUUCUUUCAGAUAGUCGAAUGACUUGGAAAAGUCAGUCAAAGAGGGUAAAAACCCCGUAGACGAAAUGUGGAAGACACCUAGGAGGAUCCUGAGUACGGCGGAACACGAGAAAUUCCGUCGGAAUCCGGGAGGACCAUCUCCCAAGGCUAAAUACUCCCUAGUGACCGAUAGUGAACCAGUACCGUGAGGGAAAGGUGAAAAGCACCCCGGAAGGGGAGUGAAAUAGAACCUGAAACCGUGUGCCUACAACAAGUCAAAGCCCGUUAAUGGGUGAUGGCGUGCCUUUUGUAGAAUGAACCGGCGAGUUACGAUUGCAUGCGAGGUUAAGUUGAAGAGACGGAGCCGCAGCGAAAGCGAGUCUGAAUAGGGCGUUUGAGUAUGUAGUCGUAGACCCGAAACCAUGUGAUCUACCCAUGUCCAGGUUGAAGGUGCGGUAAAACGCACUGGAGGACCGAACCCACGUACGUUGAAAAGUGCGGGGAUGAGGUGUGGGUAGCGGAGAAAUUCCAAACGAACUUGGAGAUAGCUGGUUCUCUCCGAAAUAGCUUUAGGGCUAGCCUCGGAAUUGAGAAUGAUGGAGGUAGAGCACUGUUUGGACUAGGGGCCCAUCUCGGGUUACCGAAUUCAGAUAAACUCCGAAUGCCAUUCAUUCAUAUCCGGGAGUCAGACUGUGAGUGAUAAGAUCCAUAGUCGAAAGGGAAACAGCCCAGACCACCAGCUAAGGUCCCAAAAUAUAUGUUAAGUGGAAAAGGAUGUGGGGUUGCACAGACAACUAGGAUGUUGGCUUAGAAGCAGCCACCAUUUAAAGAGUGCGUAAUAGCUCACUAGUCGAGUGACCCUGCGCCGAAAAUGUACCGGGGCUAAACAUAUUACCGAAGCUGUGGAGUACACCUUUAGGUGUAUUGGUAGGAGAGCGUUCUAAGGGCGUCGAAGGCAGAUCGUGAGGACUGCUGGAGCGCUUAGAAGUGAGAAUGCCGGUAUGAGUAGCGAAAGACAGGUGAGAAUC